UGAGGAAUAUUGGUCAAUGGGCGCAAGCCUGAACCAGCCAAGUCGCGUGAGGGAUGACGGUCCUAUGGAUUGUAAACCUCUUUUGUCGGGGAGCAAGGCCCGCCACGUGUGGCGGGAAGGAGAGUACCCGAAGAAAAAGCAUCGGCUAACUCCGUGCCAGCAGCCGCGGUAAUACGGAGGAUGCGAGCGUUAUCCGGAUUUAUUGGGCGUAAAGGGAACGCAGGCGGUCUUUUAAGUCUGAUGUGAAAGCCUUCGGCUUAACCGGAGUAGUGCAUUGGAAACUGGGAGACUUGAGUGCAGAAGAGGAGAGUGGAACUCCAUGUGUAGCGGUGAAAUGCGUAGAUAUCACGCAGAACCCCGAUCGCGAAGGCAGCAUGCCGGCUUCCUACUGACGCUGAAGCACGAAAGCGUGGGGAUCGAACAGG
This 425-nucleotide ribosomal RNA is filed under the name uncultured bacterium. RNAcentral describes it as "bacterial SSU rRNA". It matches the Rfam family "Bacterial small subunit ribosomal RNA", at positions 355 to 776 of the family's 1533-position model. The record is from RNAcentral.